Paramuricea clavata is the source of this 236-nucleotide non-coding RNA. The record is from the annotation of a GenBank genome assembly. Lineage: Eukaryota; Metazoa; Cnidaria; Anthozoa; Malacalcyonacea; Plexauridae.
CCGUAUUUCACCAAAUCGUCAGCACUGGCCAGCGUCAAAUCAGCCUUUCCGUCAGCAACGUCUUUAGUGCAACCCGCCGCUGCAUCUGAGGCAGCAACACAUGAAAAAAUUGUCCCUGCACUGUUACAUGAUGCAACAUUGUCACUACAAAAUUCUAAAGAAGAAAUAUGUUGCGUUAACUGGUUUUCUCGCGCAUCUUGAAAAGACUAUUUAUUAUAUAUAUAUAUAGGGUCAGU